This is a long non-coding RNA of Harpia harpyja (harpy eagle), 1505 nucleotides long. RefSeq lists it as uncharacterized. NCBI's taxonomy places the organism in Eukaryota, Metazoa, Chordata, Aves, Accipitriformes, Accipitridae. The transcript has 10 exons. The record is from RefSeq and is a predicted model, not a curated record.
GGGACGGUGCCGCCUCGCCGCGGGCUGCGCCCGCCCACCCGGGGCCGGCGGGCACGGUGUGGGUCCGAGGUCCGGGCUGGGACCCCACAGCUCACGCCCGAGGGGCGGGCAGGAGAGAAGCCCCUGAAAGGGCUGAGGACAAGGGCACCUGCAGCACGGCCUGGGGGGGCAGCAAGAGCCCAGGCCCGCGCUUAAGUGGAGCCCAGAGGACGUGAGGGGAGGCCCCAGGUGGGGCUAGUCAGGGCAGUGAGGGCUUAUUAGCGCUUUCAGGGGGCCUGCGGCUGUUAGUGUCAUUUCUGCUUUGGACAGUCUUGUGGCUCAGCUCUGUUGAUGGACUCUGGCUGCUGUGACAGAAGAUGUAAUUCUCUAUGUGGAAACCAGGAAGAGGAUUUUGCUGGUCAGUACACAAGAAUUUAAUUCCUUCCUAGCUGCUUGAACCUGGAGACCCAGGAAGAGAAACAAGUUCUGUGGACCUUGUAACAUGGUGUGAUCAACUGAACUCAAAUACUAAACAUCCCAGAACUGCAAGAAAAAGUUUUCAGAUGAGGGUAGCUUGCACGCUUCCUGAAUGAAAGAAAACACGGGCCAACAUGAGAGGGAGCAGGAGAGAAGAUGUACAGCAGUCCUAUGAUGCCACCAAACUGAGCAGAAACCAUUACCCUCUUCUGCUGGACCACAUGUUUCUCAGAACUGGGAGUAGCUGCCAGCAAGAGCAGCUCACAGGGAAAGGCAGUGGCUGUUUACCUGCACCGCUCAGCCAGACCAGGGAGGACAGACCCACUUGUAUUCUCCAACAGAAGACUGACAUGACACAAAUGGUGGCACAAGAGUCUUACUGUUACAUUCAAUAAUUGAUUCUCCUGGAUGGAUUGUGACUCCCCAAAGGUUGCAAAAAGAGAAAGAUUUGAAUUAUGCUGCCACAUACCAAGGAGAAAAAAACAGCGUAAAAGCAUUGGUUUAAUGGACAUGCUUUGGGUUUACACUGGCAUCCUGAAAGCAGAAUUGUUCCCUGUGGAUGUAGAAGUAUCACGGUAACUCUCCCCAGGGUCAGAACGGCCCCUCACUGGGAUUGCUGUCAGCCAGCAUGACAACCAGGGAGUUCUGCUGGAGAAGUACUUUGAGGGAAUAUCAGCAAUUAGCUUCUUCAGCUAAUUGUUGGAUUUUAUAAGUGACUCUUCAAAAACAGCUAUGAGGAUUAGGUUGAGCCUUUCUACCGAGCUCUGGGUAAGGGAUUCCACAUGGCAAGAGGAGAAUCGCCACACGGGUCACAAUUUCUUCUCUUCAGCGAGGGGAAAGGAUCUGCAGCUCAUCUGUAUCAGUUCAUCUGUAGCAGCAAGCUGGGUGACAGAGAUGGGACUUAUCCCUGGACAUGGGACGUUUGUUCAUCAGGCCAGGAACUGGGGGCUCAUAUCUGGCUGUAGAGUUGGAAGACGGAGGCAGACAGAGAGAAAUGGAAGGAAGAGUCAACUUUUUAAACAGGAAAGAAAGAAGGCUAGAACCUAAAA